UAACGACUCUCGGCAACGGAUAUCUCGGCUCUCGCAUCGAUGAAGAACGUAGCGAAAUGCGAUACUUGGUGUGAAUUGCAGAAUCCCGCGAACCAUCGAGUCUUUGAACGCAAGUUGCGCCCGACGCCUCCCGGCCGAGGGCACGUCUGCCUGGGUGUCACGC
This 163-nucleotide ribosomal RNA is filed under the name Rhinotropis acanthoclada. Its description in RNAcentral is "5.8S ribosomal RNA". It matches the Rfam family "5.8S ribosomal RNA". From Rfam's summary of the family: 5.8S ribosomal RNA (5.8S rRNA) is a component of the large subunit of the eukaryotic ribosome. The record is from RNAcentral. Lineage: Eukaryota; Viridiplantae; Streptophyta; Magnoliopsida; Fabales; Polygalaceae.